ACCAGUUUUGUAGCCCAUGGAUCAGCGCAGCUAAGAGGAAUAGGCCUUGACAGAGCCAGGAGGUAGGCAUAGCAGCCACAGGAAUUUAGUGACAGCUAGCAUGCUGGGUAGGGGGGAGCCAUAAGGGGAGUAUUUAUACCAGCCAUUAUAGGAAGUGGCCAUUUUAACUGAACCUAAGCUUACCUGUCAGUUGUGAAAGCUGCCUGCCCUGGAGGGAGAAGGCAGCAUGGAGGCAGCAUAGCAGAACAGGCAGCAUGGAGGCAGCAUGAAGAACAGGCAGUACUGAGACAGGAGACAGCAUGGAG
This is a non-coding RNA of Pelobates cultripes (western spadefoot toad), 305 nucleotides long. The record is from the annotation of a GenBank genome assembly. Lineage: Eukaryota; Metazoa; Chordata; Amphibia; Anura; Pelobatidae.